RNAcentral lists this ribosomal RNA (253 nucleotides) under uncultured bacterium. Its description in RNAcentral is "partial 16S ribosomal RNA". It matches the Rfam family "Bacterial small subunit ribosomal RNA", at positions 524 to 776 of the family's 1533-position model. The record is from RNAcentral.
UACGUAGGGGGCGAGCGUUGUCCGGAAUCAUUGGGCGUAAAGCGCGUGUAGGCGGUUCGGUAAGUCUGCUGUGAAAGUCCAGGGCUCAACCCUGGGAUGCCGGUGGAUACUGCUGAACUAGAGUGCGGAAGAGGCGAGUGGAAUUCCCGGUGUAGCGGUGAAAUGCGCAGAUAUCGGGAGGAACACCAAUUGCGAAGGCAGCUCGCUGGGACGUUACUGACGCUGAGACGCGAAAGCGUGGGGAGCAAACAGG